CUGCUAUGAGUGCCCGGACUUCCUUCUUUGCUCUAUAUGCCAAUCAAGGCAUCUUGCUGGCCACGAAGUGAUGGAAUUUCCAGUGAAGAAAGAACUGUUUGUGGAGGAGUGUCAAAAACAGCUACAUUCUCAUUAUAACACCUUCAGUAAAAUCAAGAUCAUCCCAUGGAAACCAGCCUCAGCCAUUCAUAUUGAUGAAAUAUACACCCAGCUAUC
Molecule: long non-coding RNA, 216 nt
Organism: Orbicella faveolata
Lineage: Eukaryota; Metazoa; Cnidaria; Anthozoa; Scleractinia; Merulinidae
Source: RefSeq, a predicted model, not a curated record